CAAAUUAUAGCAUAUAUAAUGCCUUUUAUUUACACUAAAAAGAAAAUAUCUAUAUUUAAUUUGA
RNAcentral lists this transfer RNA (64 nucleotides) under Orobdella dolichopharynx. RNAcentral's name for it is "tRNA-Val". Lineage: Eukaryota; Metazoa; Annelida; Clitellata; Hirudinida; Orobdellidae. The record is from RNAcentral.